Molecule: ribosomal RNA, 406 nt
Filed under: uncultured bacterium
Lineage: Bacteria
Description: partial 16S ribosomal RNA
Rfam family: Bacterial small subunit ribosomal RNA
Source: RNAcentral
AUUGAACGCUGGCGGCAGGCCUAACACAUGCAAGUCGAACGAGUGGCGGACGGGUGAGUAAUGUCUGAGAAACUGACUGAUGGAGGGGGAUAACUAGUGGCAACGGUAGCUAAUACCGCCUAACAUCAGAUGUACCAAGCUGGGAUUAGCUUGUUGGGGGGGUAACGGCUCACCAAGGCGACGAUCCCUAGCUGGUCUGAGAGGAUGACCAGCCACUCUGGAACGGAGACACGGUCUAGACUCCUACGGGAGGCAGCAUUGGGGAAUAUUGGACAAGGGGCGCAAGCCUGAUGCAGCCAUGCCGCGUGUAUGAAGAAGGCCUUCGGGUUGUAAAGUACUUUCAGCGGGGAGGCGUUACCCGCAGAAGAAGCACCGGCUAACUCCGUGCCAGCAGCCGCGGUAAUUC